Molecule: ribosomal RNA, 644 nt
Filed under: uncultured Akkermansia sp.
Lineage: Bacteria; Pseudomonadati; Verrucomicrobiota; Verrucomicrobiia; Verrucomicrobiales; Akkermansiaceae
Description: bacterial SSU rRNA
Rfam family: Bacterial small subunit ribosomal RNA
Source: RNAcentral
GAAUUCACUAGUGAUUUGGCGGCGUGGNUAAGACAUGCAAGUCGAACGAGAGAAUUGCUAGCUUGCUAAUAAUUCUCUAGUGGCGCACGGGUGAGUAACACGUGAGUAACCUGCCCCCGAGAGCGGGAUAGCCCUGGGAAACUGGGAUUAAUACCGCAUAGUAUCGAAAGAUUAAAGCAGCAAUGCGCUUGGGGAUGGGCUCGCGGCCUAUUAGUUAGUUGGUGAGGUAACGGCUCACCAAGGCGAUGACGGGUAGCCGGUCUGAGAGGAUGUCCGGCCACACUGGAACUGAGACACGGUCCAGACACCUACGGGUGGCAGCAGUCGAGAAUCAUUCACAAUGGGGGAAACCCUGAUGGUGCGACGCCGCGUGGGGGAAUGAAGGUCUUCGGAUUGUAAACCCCUGUCAUGUGGGAGCAAAUUAAAAAGAUAGUACCACAAGAGGAAGAGACGGCUAACUCUGUGCCAGCAGCCGCGGUAAUACAGAGGUCUCAAGCGUUGUUCGGAAUCACUGGGCGUAAAGCGUGCGUAGGCUGUUUCGUAAGUCGUGUGUGAAAGGCGCGGGCUCAACCCGCGGACGGCACAUGAUACUGCGAGACUAGAGUAAUGGAGGGGGAACCGGAAUUCACGGUGUAGAAUCGAAU